AUUGAACGCUGGCGGAAUGCUUUACACAUGCAAGUCGAGCGGCAGCGCGGGGGCAACCCUGGCGGCGAGCGGCGAACGGGUGAGUAAUACAUCGGAACGUGUCCUUAAGUGGGGGAUAGCUCGGCGAAAGCCGGAUUAAUACCGCAUAAGCUCUGAGGAGGAAAGCGGGGGCUCCGUAAGGACCUCGCGCUGUUGGAGCGGCCGAUGUCGGAUUAGCUAGUUGGUGGGGUAAAGGCCCACCAAGGCGACGAUCCGUAGCUGGUCUGAGAGGAUGAUCAGCCACACUGGAACUGAGACACGGUCCAGACUCCUACGGGAGGCAGCAGUGGGGAAUUUUGGACAAUGGGGCAACCCUGAUCCAGCCAUUCCGCGUGAGUGAAGAAGGCC
Molecule: ribosomal RNA, 387 nt
Filed under: uncultured bacterium
Lineage: Bacteria
Description: bacterial SSU rRNA
Rfam family: Bacterial small subunit ribosomal RNA
Source: RNAcentral